RNAcentral lists this ribosomal RNA (573 nucleotides) under uncultured bacterium. Its description in RNAcentral is "bacterial SSU rRNA". It matches the Rfam family "Bacterial small subunit ribosomal RNA", at positions 338 to 912 of the family's 1533-position model. The record is from RNAcentral.
CCUACGGGAGGCAGCAGUGGGGAAUUUUGGACAAUGGGCGCAAGCCUGAUCCAGCCAUGCCGCGUGCGGGAAGAAGGCCUUCGGGUUGUAAACCGCUUUUGUCAGGGAAGAAAUCCUUUGAGCUAACACCUCGGGGGGAUGACGGUACCUGAAGAAUAAGCACCGGCUAACUACGUGCCAGCAGCCGCGGUAAUACGUAGGGUGCGAGCGUUAAUCGGAAUUACUGGGCGUAAAGCGUGCGCAGGCGGUCUUGCAAGACAGGUGUGAAAUCCCCGGGCUUAACCUGGGAACUGCACUUGUGACUGCAAGGCUGGUGUACGGCAGAGGGGGAUGGAAUUCCGCGUGUAGCAGUGAAAUGCGUAGAUAUGCGGAGGAACACCGAUGGCGAAGGCAAUCCCCUGGGCCUGUACUGACGCUCAUGCACGAAAGCGUGGGGAGCAAACAGGAUUAGAUACCCUGGUAGUCCACGCCCUAAACGAUGUCAACUGGUUGUUGGACGGCUUGCUGUUCAGUACGAAGCUAACGCGUGAAGUUGACCGCCUGGGGAUCGGCGCAAGUUGAACUCAAGGAUUG